This 397-nucleotide ribosomal RNA is filed under the name uncultured bacterium. RNAcentral describes it as "partial 16S ribosomal RNA". It matches the Rfam family "Bacterial small subunit ribosomal RNA", at positions 523 to 918 of the family's 1533-position model. The record is from RNAcentral.
AUACGUAGGUGACAAGCGUUAUCCGGAUUUACUGGGCGUAAAGGGCGUGUAGGCGGUCUUGCAAGUCAGAAGUGAAAUUCCUGAGCUCAACUCGGGCGCUGCUUCUGAAACUGCAGGGCUUGAGUGCUGGAGGGGAUAGCGGAAUUCCUAGUGGAGCGGUAAAAUGCGCAGAUAUUAGGAAGAACACCGGUGGCGAAGGCGGCAUUCUGGACAUUAACUGACGCGGAGGCGCGAAAGCGUGGGGAGCAAACAGGAUUAGAUACCCUGGUAGCCCACGCCGUAAACGAUGAAUACUAGGUGUAGGGGGUAUCGACUCCCUCUGUGCCGCAGUUAACACAAUAAGUAUUCCGCCUGGGGAGUACGGCCGCAAGGUUGAAACUCAAAUGAAUUGACGGGG